Molecule: ribosomal RNA, 433 nt
Filed under: uncultured bacterium
Lineage: Bacteria
Description: partial 16S ribosomal RNA
Rfam family: Bacterial small subunit ribosomal RNA
Source: RNAcentral
AACGAACGCUGGCGGCAUGCCUAACACAUGCAAGUCGAACGAGACCUUCGGGUCUAGUGGCGCACGGGUGCGUAACGCGUGGGAACCUGCCCUUAGGUUCGGAAUAACUCCCCGAAAGGGGUGCUAAUACCGGAUAAUGUCUUCGGACCAAAGAUUUAUCGCCUUUGGAUGGGCCCGCGUUGGAUUAGCUGGUUGGUAGGGUAAAAGCCUACCAAGGCGACGAUCCAUAGCUGGUCUGGGAGGAUGAUCAGCCACACUGGGCCUGAGACACGGCCCAGACUCCGACGGGAGGCAGCAGUGGGGAAUAUUGGACAAUGGGCGAAAGCCUGAUCCAGCAAUGCCGCGGGAGUGAUGAAGGCCUUAGGGUUGUAAAGCUCUUUUACCCGGGAUGAUAAUGACAGUACCGGGAGAAUAAGCACCGGCUAACUCCGUG